This 156-nucleotide ribosomal RNA is filed under the name Lacticaseibacillus rhamnosus. RNAcentral describes it as "Lactobacillus rhamnosus partial 16S ribosomal RNA". It matches the Rfam family "Bacterial small subunit ribosomal RNA", at positions 1386 to 1533 of the family's 1533-position model. The record is from RNAcentral. Lineage: Bacteria; Bacillati; Bacillota; Bacilli; Lactobacillales; Lactobacillaceae.
CACACGCCCGUCACACCAUGAGAGUKURWCACCCGAAGCCGGUGGCGUAACCCUUUUAGGGAGCGAGCCGUCUAAGGUGGGACAAAUGAUUAGGGUGAAGUCGUAACAAGGUAGCCGUAGGAGAACCUGCGGCUGGAUCACCUCCUUUCUAAGGAA